GGACUACAGGGGUUUCUAAUCCCGUUCGCUCCCCUGGCUUUCGCACCUGAGCGUCAGAUACUCCCCAGGACACUGCCUUCGCCUUUGGUGUUCCUCCGGAUCUCUACGCAUUUCACCACUCCACCCGGAAUUCCGUGUCCCUCUGAAGCUCUCAAGUCCCUCAGUUUUCGAAGCGCUUUCCCAGGUAAGCCGGGAACUGUCACUCCAAACUUGGGGGACCGCCUGCGUGCCCUUUACGCCCAGUAACUCCGGACAACGCUCGCCCCCUACGUAUUACCGCGGCGGCUGGCAC
Molecule: ribosomal RNA, 292 nt
Filed under: uncultured bacterium
Lineage: Bacteria
Description: partial 16S ribosomal RNA
Source: RNAcentral